This 253-nucleotide ribosomal RNA is filed under the name uncultured bacterium. RNAcentral's name for it is "partial 16S ribosomal RNA". It matches the Rfam family "Bacterial small subunit ribosomal RNA", at positions 524 to 776 of the family's 1533-position model. The record is from RNAcentral.
UACGUAGGGUGCAAGCGUUAAUCGGAAUUACUGGGCGUAAAGCGUGCGCAGGCGGCUAUGCAAGACAGAUGUGAAAUCCCCGGGCUUAACCUGGGAACUGCAUUUGUGACUGCAUGGCUAGAGUACGGUAGAGGGGGAUGGAAUUCCGCGUGUAGCAGUGAAAUGCGUAGAUAUCAGGAGGAAUACCGAUGGCGAAGGCAGGUCUCUGGGCUGACACUGACGCUCAUGCACGAAAGCGUGGGGAGCAAACAGG